CUACGGGUGGCAGCAGUGGGGAAUAUUGCACAAUGGGGGAAACCCUGAUGCAGCAACGCCGCGUGGAGGAUGACGCAUUUCGGUGUGUAAACUCCUUUUAUAUCCCAAGAUAAUGACGGUAGGAUAUGAAUAAGCACCGGCUAACUCCGUGCCAGCAGCCGCGGUAAUACGGAGGGUGCAAGCGUUACUCGGAAUCACUGGGCUUAAAGGGCGCGUAGGCGGGUUGUCAAGUCUUGAGUGAAAUCCAACGGCUCAACCGUUGAACUGCUUGAGAAACUGGCAGCCUAGAGUAAGGGAGAGGUAGAUGGAAUUGGUGGUGUAGGGGUAAAAUCCGUAGAGAUCACCAGGAAUACCCAUUGCGAAGGCGAUCUGCUGGAACUUUACUGACGCUGAGGCGCGAAAGCGUGGGGAGCAAACAGGAUUAGAUACCCCCGUAGUC
RNAcentral lists this ribosomal RNA (439 nucleotides) under uncultured bacterium. Its description in RNAcentral is "partial 16S ribosomal RNA". It matches the Rfam family "Bacterial small subunit ribosomal RNA", at positions 339 to 795 of the family's 1533-position model. The record is from RNAcentral.